Pantherophis guttatus is the source of this 1692-nucleotide non-coding RNA. The record is from RefSeq and is a predicted model, not a curated record. NCBI's taxonomy places the organism in Eukaryota, Metazoa, Chordata, Lepidosauria, Squamata, Colubridae.
CGUGGGGAUGCUGCGACGGUCGUUAACUGUGAAAAAAACGGUCAUACGUCACUUUUUUUUUUUCCUCCUCCCCGGUGCUAGUAGGUAACUUCGAACCGUUGUAAAGCUGAGGACGACCUGUACAGCACCGAAUUCCCCGGAAAGGACGACCGAAAACAGAUGAAAUCCUUUGGAUCCAGUCGAUUCCACCCGAUCCAGGCGGGGCUCGUUUGCAAGGACUCGGGUACCGUAAUGCCGAGAGAAGCGGCGCGGAAGAUUACCGUAUUGAUGGAUGGACUGCCUGCCUGGGAUGGCCGCUGAAGGAGGGCGAAGGAAGGUCUCCACCUUGGCCCCGCCCCUUUACCGCUCGGCUGGGGCUUUCCCGUUCCAAGAAGUCUGACCUCAUCGGGGGGCUCGUCCAAUCAGGAAGCAGCAGCCGGGCCAGCAGGGGGAAUUCCAAGAGCGAUCGGCCCCCCCCCUCCUCCUCCUCUUUCGGGACCGAGAAAAAAAAAAAGACUUUUUUUUUUUCCUCCUUCUCUCUCUCUCUCUCUUUCUUUUCAUUUGUUUUAAAGAAAGAAAAGGGGAAGGUAGAAAAAGGGGGAGGAAAGUUAGGACUUUUUUUUGGAGGGAGGGGGGGCGGCUGCGGGGAAUGUGGGCUCCGCCGGGAGGAGGCAUGAAUACCUUGCUGGGACCGAGCAGGCGGCCGGAGCGAAAGCAGCCGGAGCCCGGGGAUGGAUGCUGCCUUCUUCUCUAGACUGUCGGAUGAAUCUCCAGCAGGUCACGCAAAGGCAGAAAGUUGGUUUCAAAUAAACUUCGGCUAACUCUCGGAGAAAGCUUGCCAAAGGCCCCCUGUUUGCCGCUUCUAGCUUGCCCACGAUGCAGCCGACCAGGGAGACUUCGGGUAAGGAUUUUCAGCAUCCUGCUUUACAGUAGUCCUCGACUUAUGACCCCAAUUGAGUAACACGGUUGUUAAGUGAAUCUGGCUUCCCCAUUGAUGUUGCUCAGAAUUUCUGUUGUUCAGGGCGACAUUUGUUAAGUUUGUCUUGCCCCAUCUUACAACUUUUCUUGCCAUCAUUGCUAAGUGAAUCCCUGCAGUUGAUAAGUUAGUAACCCGGUCGUUAAAUGAAUCCAGGCUUCCCCACACACUUUGCUUGUUAUGAGGUCACCAAAGGGGAUCACAUGAUCCCAGAGACACUGCAGCCGUCAGCUGCCAAGCUUCUGAAUUUUGAUCCCACGAUCACAGCGAUACUGCAAAGGUCAUAACUAUGAAAAAUGGAUUUAAGUCACAUUUUUCAGUGCCAUUGUCACUUUGAACAGUCAGUAAAUGGAACGGCUGUAAGUCGAGGACCAUCUGUAUUCAAAUCCGGUUGAGCAAAACGAGAAGCUGAUGUGGAUGUUUGAAGACAAAAGGAAUAUAUAGCACCGCAUAGAAUAAUAUUUCUCCUUUUUUUCUUUUGCAGAUGAAUUAGGUAAGCACCUGGGGGGUUGUAGUGGGGUGUUGCCAGCGACAGGUAAGUAGAUAUUUGUCACCUAACUGAGUCAUUAUUUUAAGGUUUGAGGCUCUAAUUUUUCUCUCUGCUCUUAUUCUGCAUCUCCAUCAAAGUGCUGGCUGAGAUCCUUCAUGUACUGUAAAUAAGAAAAAAACCCAGAAUUACCAUCAUCUGACGAUGUCUUUUUUUAAAAAAAAAAUUUUUAACAGUUUAUUUUGUUAAG